This 253-nucleotide ribosomal RNA is filed under the name uncultured bacterium. RNAcentral's name for it is "partial 16S ribosomal RNA". It matches the Rfam family "Bacterial small subunit ribosomal RNA", at positions 524 to 776 of the family's 1533-position model. The record is from RNAcentral.
AACGUAGGUCCCGAGCGUUAUCCGGAUUUACUGGGCGUAAAGGGCGUGUAGGCGGCCUUGGAAGUCGGGCAUGAAAUCUUCUGGCUCAACCGGGAGAGGCUGUCCGAUACUCCAAAGCUUGAGUGCUGGAGAGGCGGGUGGAAUUCCGCGUGUAGUGGUGAAAUGCGUAGAGAUGCGGAGGAACACCAGUGGCGAAAGCGGCCCGCUGGCCAGCGACUGACGCUGAAACGCGAAAGCUAGGGGAGCGAACGGG